GUCCAGCUUCUUCCACUGAGGAGUCAAUCGGGCCUCUGACUGGGCAAAGCUGAUAGACUGAGAGUGUUAGCUAAUGCUCUUACCACUGGCUCCCUAUUCAUAAAAUCAAUGCUCUCAGCAUAUUCACUGACUUGAAGUUGUUAUAGUGCCCAAAGCCUAGCUUCUAGCUAUAUCACUAACUCCUCAAUUGCACACACCUAAAAUCUAUUUUAGCAUUAUGCCCAGAGUUACAGGAUUAUAU
Molecule: non-coding RNA, 241 nt
Organism: Pelobates cultripes (western spadefoot toad)
Lineage: Eukaryota; Metazoa; Chordata; Amphibia; Anura; Pelobatidae
Source: the annotation of a GenBank genome assembly